This 497-nucleotide ribosomal RNA is filed under the name uncultured bacterium. RNAcentral's name for it is "partial 16S ribosomal RNA". It matches the Rfam family "Bacterial small subunit ribosomal RNA", at positions 28 to 507 of the family's 1533-position model. The record is from RNAcentral.
GACGAACGCUGGCGGCGUGCCUAAUACAUGCAAGUUGAGCGCUGAAGGUUGGUACUUGUACUCACUGCAUGCGCAGCGAACGGGUGAGUAACGCGUGGGGAAUCUGCCUUUGAGCGGGGGACAACAUUUUGAAACGAAUGCUAAUACCGCAUAAAAACUUUAAACACAAAUUUUAAGUUUGAAAGAUGCAAUUGCAUCACUCAAAGACGAUCCCGCGUUGUAUUGGCUAGUUGGUGAGGCAAAGGACCACCACGGCGAAGAUACAUAGGCGACCUGAGAGGGAGAACGAGCACCAUGGGACUGAGACACGGCCCAAACGCCUACAGGAGGCAGCAGUAGGGAAUCAUCGGCAAUGGAGGAAAGUCUGACCGAGCAACGCCGCGGGAGAGGAGAAAGUUUUCGGAUCGUAAAACUCUGUUGAUAGAGAAGGACGUGGGUGAAAGUAAAAAGCUCAUCAAGUGACGUUAACUGCCCAGAAAGGGACGGCUAACUACGUG